RNAcentral lists this long non-coding RNA (2700 nucleotides) under Homo sapiens (human). RNAcentral describes it as "HSALNT0123152". Lineage: Eukaryota; Metazoa; Chordata; Mammalia; Primates; Hominidae. The record is from RNAcentral.
UUCAUUGUGCCAAAAAGUUGCCAUGACUGUCAUUAAACCUGUUUAACACCAAAUAAUAAGGAAAAUAAAAUAAAAAAUUCGGGCUUGGUGCAGAAACUCACUCCAAAUACAUUACCUUUAAAAAUAUUUAUAUAAUGGUAGAAAUAUUCCAAAAUUCCAUAUUUUGAGAUUUAUACACAAAAGAUAAACAAAUUAGAGGCCAAGAAAAACGGGGCCUGGAAAGGCCGUUGUGAGGAAUGAGCUGGGCCUAAAGAGGCCACUGGCAGGCAGGAGCUGGGACUGCCAAAGCGGCCGAAAGGCAGGAGCUUUGGACUGGGGAGGCCGCAGUGAGGCGAGAGCUAGCUGGGCGUGGAGAGUCCACUGUGAGGCUGAGGCUGGGCCUGUGCAGGCCUUCGAGAGGCAGGAAGCCAGGCCUGCAAAGGCCGACUGGAGGUCAAGUUCUGGGCCUGAAGAGGCCACCAAAAGUCAAAAGCGGGGCCUGGGAAGGCCACUGAGAGCCACGAGCUGGGCUGGGCCGAAAGAGGCCACUGGGAGGCAGGAGAAGCUGGGCCUGGAGAGGCUGACUCGAGGAAGUUUUGCACCGGGAGAGGCCGCCGAGAGGACGGAGCUGGGCCCGGGGAGGCCAACUUGCAGCUCUUCCAGGCCCACUUCCAGGCCAACUUAAGGACGACUUAGGCCUGCAGAGGCCGCCGGGAGGCUGGAGCUGGGCCUGGAGAGGCCGACUUCAGCACGAUUUAGGCCUGCAGAGGUCGCCGGGAGGCCCAAGCUGGGCCUAGAGGAGCCCACCGACCGGAGGCCGUUUGGGGCCUGGAGAUGCCGUCGGAGGGCAGGAGCUGAGCCUGGCGAGGCCACCGUGAGGCCUGACCUGGGCCUGGGGAGCUUGGCUUCAGGAAGUUGUGGGCCUACCAGGGCCACUGGGAGCUGGGCGGGAGCUGAGUCCAAAGACAUUGUUGGGAGGCCGGAGUCGCCAGGAGGCCCAAGCUGGGCGUGGAGGAGCCCACCGACCGGAGACCAUUUGGGGCCUGGAGACGCCAUUGGAGGGCAGGAGCUGAUCCUGGAGAGGCCACCGUGAGGCCUGACCUGGGCCUGGGGAGCUUGGCUUCAGGAAGCUGUGGGCCGACCAAGGCCGCCAGGAGAUGGGCAGGCGCUGAGUCCAAAAAGGUUGUUGGGAGGCAGCAGUCGGGCCUGGAGACGCAGCCGGGAGGAAGAGCUGGGCCCGGAGAGGAUGCCGGGAGGCUGCAAGUGAGUCUGGAGAGGCCGACUUGAGGAGGCCCGGCCUCUGCCUCCCGCAUGGUGGCCUCUGCAGGCCCAGCUGUUCCUCCUGGCUGCAUCUCUCGGCCCAGCUCCUGCCUCCCAGCAAGCAAGCUCUUUUGGCUCAGCUCCCGCCGGUGUUUGUAGACCCCGAAGUUUCUGCAGCCAAGCUCUUCAGGCCCACAUACUGCCUCCCAGUGGCCUGUAGAGUCCCAGCUCUGGCAGCAGAAGAGCAUCUGCAGGCCCCGCUGUUGCCUCCCAGGGGCGUCUCCAGGCCCAGCUCUCGCCCCACCGCAGCCUCUCGGGGCCAAGUCCCUGCCUGCUCCCGGCAGCCUGCGUGCAGUCCUGCUCCUCCCUCACGGUGGCCUGUUGAGGCAGGGGCUCACGCUGACCUCUCUCCGCGUGGGAGGGGCCAGUGUGAGGCAAGGGGUCAGCGUGGGAGGGGCCCGUGUGAGGCAAGGGGUCAGCGUGGGAGGGGCCCGUGUGAGGCAAGGGGUCAGCAUGGGAGGGGCUGGUGUGAGGCAAGGGGUCAGCGUGGGAGGGGCCGGUGUGAGGCAAGGGGUCAGCGUGGGAGGGGCCGGUGUGAGGCAAGGGGUCAGCGUGGGAGGGGCCGGUGUGAGGCAAGGGGUCAGCAUGGGAGGGGCCGGUGUGAGGCAAGGGGUCAGCAUGGGAGGGGCCGGUGUGAGGCAAGGGGCUCACGCCGACCUCUCUCAGCGUGGGAGGGGCCGGUGUGAGGCAAGGGGCUCAUGCCGACCUUCCUCAGCGUGGGAGGGGUCGGUGUGAGGCAGGGACUCACGCCUCUGGGCAGGGUGCCAGAGGCAUGAGUUGGGCAUCAACAGGCCACCGUGAGGGAGGAGCUGGGCCGCACGCGGGCUGCUGGGAGGCAGGCAGGGACUUGUCCCCGGGAGGCUGCCGUGGGGGCGAGAGCUGGGCCUGGAGAGGCCCCUGGGAGGCAAGAGCGGGACCUGCAGAGGCUGUUCUACAGCCAAAGCUGGGCCUGUACAGGCCACCGAGAGGCAGUAGGUGGGCCCGAAGAGCUUGGCUGGAGAAAGUUCGGGGCCUACAAAGGCGGCUGGGAGCUGGGCAGGAGUUGAGCCAAAAGGGCUUGCUUACUUGCUGGGAGGCAGGGCCGGGAGACGCCGACUUCAGGACGACUUGGGCCUGCAGAGGUCACCGGGAGGCCCAAGCUGGGCGUGGAGGAGCCCACCGACCGGAGACCAUUUGGGGCCUGGAGACGCCAUCGGAGGGCAGGAGCUGAUCCUGGAGAGGCCACCGUGAGGCCUGACCUGGGCCUGGGGAGCUUGGCUUGAGGAAGCUGUGGGCCGACCAAGGCCGCCAGGAGAUGGGCAGGCGCUGAGUCCAAAGAGGUUGUUGGGAGGCAGCAGUCGGGCCUGGAGACGCAGCCGGGAGGAAGAGCUGGGCCCGGAGAGGACGCCGGGAGGCUGCAAG